UUUAUAUAAAGGCAAUUUACAUACAGGAAGGGAGCAAGCUGCAAAGUUCAACACUGGGCCGUUUAUUCUCUCCAUUGCAACAUCACUCAGAAAAUUACAGUCAUCAGCGUCCUGAGUUUAUUACACCCCCAGCAAGACACACAAGAAAUGUAACUGGACUGAUGAUCAUCACAAAUCAGUCCAGAAAAAAAAAUUCAAAACACAUGCACGGGGAUCAUUUUUUUUUUUUCAAAGAAGCUCUGCCACAUGCAUUCCAAGAGGAACGUGGAAUUCAAGUUAGAGGGCUCUAAGUGGAAGGGAGAAGAGGCACAACCAUAUGAUUUGUGGUUGGAACAGAAAAAGGACGUCUGAUGUUCUCCUUCCUCCCCCUACCCUAAUGUUCGGCGCUUGGAGACGCACGGUCUGCUAAACUUAUCAUUUAACGUAGAGAAUCAAGUUGUUGAGACUGGCUUUUCUUCCAACCGGAUACCUGAAGGGUGGAGCAGGCGCCCCCUGUUCUGUCCCAGCAACCUACGAAGACUUCCGAACAGGAAGUAUUCGUCAAACAGAAAAGGAUAAAAAAUGAGUUUAUUCAUAAUGGCUAUUAUAGGCUCUGAAGUUUCAGUAACAUGCUGAAGGUGGGGCUCUCUGUGGUCCACGUUAAUCCACUACAGCUGAGGCUCAUUACCUGUGACGCCUUAGACAAGGUAUUGUCUUAACCUUGAAAAUCUGUAUAAUGGGGAUACUAAAACUUGAUAUAAAUUGCAAAAAAAAAAUAAUUGAAAUAGAGAAUUUAGUAAGUUGGAAUCUCACAUGGAAAAUAGGACACAUCUGUGUUCCUUACCCCUACCCUACACAUGUCACAACUAGAAACAGAACAUAUCAUACAACUCAAAUGGCUCCCACAAAUCACGACAACUAUGGUUAUGUACUGUGCUUAAAGCACAUGAAGAAUAUGAGCCACUUAAUCUGCUGGGCCAAGGACAGGCCCAUGCGAUGGCAAUUCCACCAAGGGCCUGAAAAGAUGAUCCAUUUAGUUCUUCAGACUUCUCCCUCCUCUCUUGGUCUCCCCAUGGACAAUGCUCCAGAAUGGGUUGGAUCAGGGAACUAGAUGCCCUGAUAACCGAAUAAACACUUGUUUAUCAAACAAAGGCUAAAGUUUAAAUCGAAAAAGCAGACAGUAAGCCAAAAGCUAACCCAGAGGAGUUUUUAGUUGCUCAGGGUGGAUGGAAAACAAUAGAAUGUAUGUUUGGGCCUAUUGAGAGGGUGGCGUCAUUGGAAGCAGGUCCUACAAGGCUAGUCAACACAGAAGAUGCUUUCCCUGGGUCGUUCCACCUGUCCUCAGGGAAAGAAGAGAAAACUCCAAUGGCCUGUGUGUGGCCUAUUAUGUUUAGUCCUUCAGACCUCCAUGGGGCACUGCUUUUGUGCCAGGCAGUGUGUUGAGUCCUGGAUCUAACAAAGAUAUCCAAGGUGGACAGCAUUGCCACACUCAAGGAGGGCAUGGUCCAUCUUUUUUUAGUUGAAUUGAAUAGCUUCCCAAAAGCAAAGAUAAGCUUACAGAUAUUUCUACUUUUUCUAAGACCCAGCUAUGCCAUUAAGAGACAGCCUUGGGCAGGUGUAACCAUUUAGAAUACCCACUUUUUCGAGUGAGGAAUGAGCUGGAAGCCCUCUUGUAGCUGUAAUAUUGUGCGGUGCUGUGAUAUCUGGGAAAAGAUGAAUCUGAAAGGAACUUCUGGAUGCCCAGAACCACCUCCUAUAAUAGUGCCCGGCUACUCCUUUGGAGCCCUUCCCUUCUGCCCCUCAUUGUAGCCUUUAGUCAAGGAUUUUGUGGCUUAGUUAUUUACAUCUCAAGUGUCUCUCUGGACUGUUGAGUUCUUUGAAGAUUAGACCACAUGAGUGAGAUUGAUGUUUCUUGCCUACCUAACAUUCUUUAAUCAGGCCCUUCUCCAGCUCCCUCUUCCCACUCUCUUUUGUUCUCCAGGCUGACGCCAUCUUGGCUCUGUUCCUUUUACAAAGCCAGUCUUGUGUCUGCCUUUGGGACUUUGUCUAUGCCACGGUCUCCACCUGGGAUGAUUUCCUCCUGGUGCUCACAUGGCUGGAUCCUUCUUGCCAUUCGGAUCUUAGAGUAAACAUCAUUUACACAAUGGACCUAAACCACCCAGCUGGCCAUCCUUUGCCACUCACCCUAUUUCAAUGAUCUGCAUAUUAGUUUUAUUAUCUGACAUUUUUCUUGGGUUCAUUAUCUCCUUGCACUAGAAAGUAGCCUCUGUAAGACAGGGAUGAUAUUUGUUUGAUUCUUCAUAGUAUCCCUGAUGCCCGGAAGAGUGUCUGGCCUAAAGGAAGUGCUUAAUAAAUGAAACAACUUAAUAAUAUACCCCUUAUAUAUUGCUGAGUACAUAAUUGUUUCUCAAUAAAUUAUGGUUUUCCUCCCUUCAUCUCAUAAUCAAGGGUACGU
This is a long non-coding RNA of Acinonyx jubatus (cheetah), 2434 nucleotides long. RefSeq lists it as uncharacterized. The record is from RefSeq and is a predicted model, not a curated record. The transcript is spliced from 3 exons. NCBI's taxonomy places the organism in Eukaryota, Metazoa, Chordata, Mammalia, Carnivora, Felidae.